Non-coding RNA from Xyrichtys novacula (pearly razorfish), 1120 nucleotides. The record is from the annotation of a GenBank genome assembly. Lineage: Eukaryota; Metazoa; Chordata; Actinopteri; Labriformes; Labridae.
GGAGCACGAUCCUUACUCUCACUCUGAUUGUUACAUCCUCGCUCUGUGGGUAUAGAUCCGGUGGAGGUCUUUUGUUUUCUAUUUUUGGGAUAUUUUUCAAGAAAUAAAAGAGCAUCUCAAGGAUGUUCUCCUGCUCGCCAAAUGAGUCAUGAGGCAGAGAUGUGGGAGGGGACAACAACCUGGACAGGAAGGAAGCGUCAACAGGACAGUCCCUUGCAGGAGUGAGUCACACAUCUAUCUGUGUCUGUGUGUUUGUGAGAAUAUUGUAGACAGCAAGGGCUUCUGGGAGGGAGGACUGCAGUGCAAUUCUCUGUCUGAGCACAAUUUAGAAACCUUCCAUGCUUGAUGUUUUUAAGCAUUUACAGCAAAAAAUGAAAUAUACUGCAAAAAUUACGCAGUGACUCUUUAAAUGCAUAUUUUAAUCAUACAUUUCAGGCCUUAUGUUGAAAGAUGUGCUUCCAAACGGAGGUCAUUUUGUUGUUUCACUACAUGGUCCGUACAUAAAGGACACUCUGUCACUUCUGAUCCUCCUCGCUGAAUCACUCUGACCUUUAACAAACACUACAUCCACAUACUCCAUGUACUGUACGUGCUACAGCCUCUGCAGCACAUCAACAACACACUGCGCCUCGGUCUACUACAACAGAGAUAAUCGGUCUGACAUCUGCAGAGGAUCACUGAGGAGUAUGUGGAGAGUAGAGGAGAAAAAACAUAAUAAAUAUAUCUGCUCUGACUUUUUAUGAGAGUUUAAGCCCAAAAUAAGGACACACUGUUUGUGAUACUUGUGUUUCUCUCUGUCUGCAGAUGUAAAAAUCCUGAACACAUGGUAAAAUCAAGGCAGUGAAGUGGACCUGGGGGCGCACAUAGGAACAAAACAGUGGAGAGAAAACAGACAUGGGGUAAGACUCAGUGCUUCUGCAGGCUAAUGUGAUGAAGUGUUUCCCUUUCCUGUUUGGCCAAUACUUCCUACACAAUGAACAAUCCUGGAGAGCUGGAACAAUCCUUAUAUACAUAUAUAUAAAUGUGUGUGUGCGCGUGUGUGUGAAAGAUCGCUGUCAACAUAUUUUUAGAACAAAUGUUGGAUAUUUCUUGUCCGAUCAACUUGCUGCUUUCUCUGUCA